GUGGAUCUUCUGGGUAGGUCCAUUCAUCGGAGCCGCCAUCGCGGCAGGUUACCACCAGUACAUCCUCCGGGCCGGGGCGAUCAAGGCGCUCGGAUCCUUCCGGAGCAACGCAUAAUUCGCCCGUUCAGCUUGCUCGAUAGUCGUCUUCAUCUCAGGUCAGGGUGUUUUGUGAAGGAAUAAGGGCUACGAACCACCAUGUGCUCAAUGAGGAGAAUUGUAGAUAUCAUAGGGCUGGGCUUUGCUUUGCUUGCCUUAUUAUUGUUCAGCACCAUUUAUUUCAUGUGUUUCAGUUGGGUGCUAAUGGGCAGUGUUCUUAGUGUGCCCCUUUAUGUAUUGCAUUCCAUUUUCACUUCUACUUCUUGUAUGUGUUGUAUGUAGUUGUCAAAUUUCCGA
This 393-nucleotide unclassified non-coding RNA is filed under the name Hevea brasiliensis (rubber tree). The record is from RNAcentral. Lineage: Eukaryota; Viridiplantae; Streptophyta; Magnoliopsida; Malpighiales; Euphorbiaceae.